GUGGGGAAUCUUGCGCAAUGGGCGAAAGCCUGACGCAGCCAUGCCGCGUGAAUGAUGAAGGUCUUAGGAUUGUAAAAUUCUUUCACCGGGGACGAUAAUGACGGUACCCGGAGAAGAAGCUCCGGCUAACUUCGUGCCAGCAGCCGCGGUAAUACGAAGGGGGCUAGCGUUGCUCGGAAUUACUGGGCGUAAAGGGCGCGUAGGCGGACAGCUUAGUCAGAGGUGAAAGCCCAGGGCUCAACCUUGGAAUUGCCUUUGAUACUGGCUGUCUUGAGUUUGGGAGAGGUGAGUGGAACUCCGAGUGUAGAGGUGAAAUUCGUAGAUAUUCGGAAGAACACCAGUGGCGAAGGCGGCUCACUGGACCGUAGUUGACGCUGAGGUGCGAAAGCGUGGGGAGCAAACAGGAUUAGAUACCCUUGUAGUCC
Molecule: ribosomal RNA, 425 nt
Filed under: uncultured bacterium
Lineage: Bacteria
Description: partial 16S ribosomal RNA
Rfam family: Bacterial small subunit ribosomal RNA
Source: RNAcentral